Molecule: long non-coding RNA, 403 nt
Filed under: Carica papaya (papaya)
Lineage: Eukaryota; Viridiplantae; Streptophyta; Magnoliopsida; Brassicales; Caricaceae
Description: long non-coding RNA (CPAP_LNC010682)
Source: RNAcentral
AUUUCCUUUAAAUGUUGGCUGUGUUUAGGGAGAUACUCCGCAUGGAAGGCCGCUAGGAACUGCUCCCAAGUAACUGGUACAGGCAGGGUGGCCCGCUUGAGCUCCCACCAGCGUACUGCUUCCCCUACCAGUAUGUAGGAGGCAAUGGCAGCCCUCUGCUCGGGAACUACUCCCAAGGUCUCAAAAGCUCUCUCAGUCUCUGCCAGCCAGUAUUGGGCCUCUUCGAACGAGGAUCCCCCUGAAAAAGUAGAAGGGUUCAGUCUCCUGUACCUCUCUAUGAAGCCGGGGUCGAUCAAGGAGGGAGCGGGGUCCCGAGGUAGAGGGACUGGGGCCGGCUGAGGGUGGACUGGGGGACCCUGUGGUGGCGCCUGCUGAUAGGGUGGGGGCACUGGAAUGUGCUGUG